CUCACAGUCUGUACAGCUCUC
This 21-nucleotide microRNA is filed under the name Physcomitrium patens. RNAcentral's name for it is "ppt-miR533b-3p". Its record names the gene ppt-miR533b-3p. Lineage: Eukaryota; Viridiplantae; Streptophyta; Bryopsida; Funariales; Funariaceae. The record is from miRBase by way of RNAcentral.